CAAAAAACAGUUCCUAUAGCCUGUAUGAACAUGUAGUCUCCUAGAUUAUCCUCAGAACAAACUGGGAUGAAGCUAUCAAUUCCUUUUCAUGUGGGUUUAGAGGGGAUCCUCUUAAGCAGAGGCUUGGAAGUAGGAUGGAAGGGAGAAGCAGAAAGGAGGAAUGAAGCAGCAAAUGAAACACAACAAAACAAAAUGCCAAAAAGCAAGGAAAAGGACAGUGGUUUUAUUCUGCAGAUUGACGGGGGUGUGGGGCUACAAGUGCAAAGCUGAGAAGCACCUGUAGAGCUUUCCUAGACUUGAUAGCAACUAAAGCAAGGCAAUGAGAACGUGUGAGGACAGUGGGGUGGUUCAUGGGAGGGGAAGAGGAAGAUGAGGUUGUUGGGAGGGGAAUGUGCUCAUGUAAGCAGUAGAAACCCACAGUAGACAUGUCCCAUGGUGACUUUCUGAGAGCUUCUGUCUCCAACAGGCUCAAGUGCUCCUGACCUUCGGAAAAGUUUGGACUCUGAGCCAAAUUCCUUGUCUGCAGCUCAUCCCUGACCAGCGUUUUGCCAGCCUUAGCUCACGUGCUUCACAUUUACUCUUCGUGCAAAGUCCCCUUGUUAGGGGGCGGUGGUGUCAGCCACUUGCCCUACACCUACAGGGAUGGCAUUGUUAAGAGGCACUUUCACACCAUGCGUCCCGCGCUCGGAGGUGGCAUCCGGGGCUUCACGCAGGCAUUCUCACUUCCAGCUCACAGGAGUGGUGGCAUGGCCUGCUAUAAAUCAGGAGCCUGCACGUGAUUGACAUCUGAACUGGCAGCGAGAGGACAAGGGCUGACAUCUGGUUUACACAUGCUCUGUGCUGGGUAUGUCCUUGGUGGCAAAGUCCUUCAGAUAUGGUGCUCUGGGGCUGGGAGAUGUCUCCUGCAGGAGGGUGUUGCAGGCAGGCUUGUUUUCACACCUUACUGUGCUCUUUAUUAUUAUUGUUGUUAUUAUUAUUAUUAUUUAUUUUUUUUCUAAUGAGAAGUGUCCAAAAGUACUAGGAUUAAUUUGGAAGCACCGGGAAUCUGAGCUCCAGAGCUGCAGUUGACCAAGAAAGCUCAGCCAAGUGACUGAACUGGUCCUUGCAUCUUGCUUCUCCAUGAAAAGGAGGUGCUCAGAGAUCAGUGAAGCAGGAGACUCUUUCCCUGAGUAAGGAUUUGGGUGCUUUUUGCACACUUUAAAUCGUUUCAAGAACAUUGAAAACAUUUAGUUCUCUGUUGAUUGGAAAAACAGAACUGAACUUCUGAAGUAUGCGGUUUAUUCAUAGAAACAUCUGAGCCAUGCCAGCAUUCAAGUUUGUGUUUAACUCUGAAGCAACGUGGCUUCCAGUUUUGUCAGGGCUGUAACACCACGGUGUUCAAUUGCUCCGAGACCAUGGUUCACUGUUUUGAUGCACAAGACCCCAUUGAUCCCAGUUAUCCCCAUUAGGAAACCAGGGUGAGACUCAGCUGUGCCCUGGAUGGAUUCCUACAGAAUAAUGCCUGAAAACUCUUCUCCAUGAUGUGCCUUCCUGCACAGUGCAGUGGGGCCUUGGCUUCUGAUUAAGUCCACAAUAUCAAUGUAGAGGCUGGCACCAAAGGAACCUCGAGGGGAUGGGAGUACCAGAGCACCUUGUUUUAGAACCUGCAUUCUCUUUCUCACAGGGUUGUACCCAUACUAAGUGUGGUUUUACAUUUUUAAUUCUGCUUCCAGAAGGAAACAAAAAGACAGAAGAAGCAAAUCAGCCUGCCCUGGGUUGGAUACAGGGAGGUUUCAUUUUCUCUGAGUGCCAACGUCAGAUGGAUGAAAACAGACAAGGUCAAUUUUCACAUUCUCAACCCCAGGUGAAGAAGAUCAAGAGAAAAGUUCAAAAAGCCCUUAUUAGAUGGCAAAAGGCUUAGCCUAAGAACGAAAGACUUCCCAGGCUUGUUGGAGGACCACGCUGUUGGAGUUCAUUAAUGUACCAUAGUGCCACUGCGUCUUCAGAUGGACCUGUCAGAAAUGUUAUAAUAUAACCUCUCCUCCACUUUAAGUUUUGUGUCACUUUUGGGUGACACGAAAGCUUAACUUAGAUCCAAAAAACAUGUUUUAACCAUUUAGCCCCAGCACAUUUCUGAAAGCCGUGCAAAAGUAAGUACUAAUAAUUAAGAUGUCUUCAUCCAUGCCAUAUGAGUCUUCUUGGGUUCUGUCUUCAGUAAAGCAUGAAUCUGUUUAGUCAAAGUAAUUAUACAAGCACAUAGAUGCUAGCAACCAAGUUUUUCUGAUUAAGGAAGAAGGAUCUUCUUAUUUUCUACCCACAGACACAAGCUCAAAUGCCCUCCUGUUCCACAUUCCCUUGACAAGCCAUUUUUCAUGGCCCAAGCUUUGUGUUUCUGCAGGAGGAUGCUGCUCUUUUCUGCCCUCCUGGCUUUCAAGCCAUGCAGACCUACUUCCUGCACUCAAAUCCCUCACAGCCCAACUUGAAGUCCCUCCUGAAGCACUGCUCAGAAGGCACAGCUUGUUGUGUAUCUUGGGAAUGGCAUCAACAUGAGCAUGACCUGCGUCUUUGCCAGGAAAACAUGCUUUGGGACAAAAUCUUGCCCAGAAGUAAACACAGAGAGACUCUGGGACUGGUUGCCUUUGAGGGGGUGAAGGCUGGUGAAAGCAGGGUGCUCCCGUGGCUUUGCAUGGGGAUUCAGAGAGCUGCGCACCCAGUGCACUAACCAGCAUGGAUCUCCCCACCAGGCAUCGUGGUCAGUGACUUGGAAGAGCUGAGCUGCGGCUUUAAUUCUCUUUUUGCUUUUGUCUCUCUUCUGAAGCGAAGCCCCAGAGAACUUUUCUUGCAGGUGACUUCUGUGUCUGUAAGCCAAGUCCUGCUCCUUGGUGCUGGAUUGCGUGACAGGCUCACACUUACUCCACUUUGUAGGAAAAUACCCCGGAGAUUAUGCACCUUGGAUUAUUCAGCUUGAUCAGCCUCAUAAUUCUGCCUGACACUGAAAUGUAUUAAUUUUUUCCACAAUGCCUGGUCUGGAUUUCCUUGUGUAAGACUCAGGAUGUGGUAUUCCUUGAAGAAUUCUUUUGCACUGUAUAACUUUACAAUAUGUAUAGUUUCUGCUCUCCAUUUAUUCGCAUCAUGUGCUAGGCUGAAGCAGGGAUGGUUGUGUCUGUGAUCUGUGCAUCUCAUUGAAUCCAGGAUCCCAAAAUGUUCACAUGUUCAUAUCCUUUCCUUAUUAGCAAGUGAUUUAGGGAGAAGACAUUUGGAUUAUGGUUAGGAAAAUGUUCAUAUAAAACCUUUUAUAUUUAGUCUUUGUACACUUGUAUUUCUGUUUUCAACUGAAAUGAUGAUUCCCAUCCCCUUGCUAGCAGAGGAGAGGUAAUGUAUCCCCAAUGGGCAAGCUGAGCUCUCUUACACAUUGCCACAAUUCAUCUUUUCAGCUCUGACACGAGAAUCUCUGCAGAAAUGAGGCAGAGAACUUGGUUUUCAGCUUCCAGACUUACCGUCCUGCUUUCCCAUGGGAAGGACUCUCACCUUGCAAGCGCAGGGGAUUUCCUCUGCAGCUGAUGGGAAACAAAUGUCCCAGAGUCAUUCACAGUGUGCUUUACCUAAUGCCAUUGUGUGAAAAGGAGGAUGCCAGCUCCGAAAAGUGACUCCACAUACGCUUUACCCCACCCGGAGGUUUGCUGCUCAUAUAUUCGGUUGAGAGUUGGUAUUAAUUUUUUUUUCCCCUAUUAGCUCUGCAGGCCAACGCAGCAGAAGGAUGGAGACGGACUGGGGCCCUGCUUGGGUUACACAGGUACGGACAGAACUGGGAUCAGCCCCUGGGCUUGCCAAAAGCUUUUUUUCUCACUGUGGUUCUGGAGAGGAGAGUGCCUCCCUUCUCUGGAGGGGUGCAGAGCACCCGAGAGUGGGACGGGAUCGCUGUGAGCUCCACAUCACAGCUUUUUGCUAGGGGUAAAAGAGCCCAUGGAGCAAGACGGAUCAAUUGCCUUUACAGCUGGGCUGACUGAUGCCAUUGGGGAAGCAUUCCCAAAGCGGGGAUCCGCGUGCUGAGGCUGCCAGAAAGCGUCAGACCUUCCCAGCCCUCUCCUGCCCCGGGACGUGGUGCUGCUGGCCAGGGAGAGCUGCUGGCUGCUCCUGGAGGAUCCCCCGUGCUAGCGAAAUCCCACUGCUGCCUUCAGACACGCUCUCGACUUCGCUGGAGCAGCAUCAAAGGCGAAAGGGAGGUGAAGCCGAGGACUCGACCCGCCAGCCCAGGCUGAACUGCAGGGCUGGCAGUGAGGAGAAAAAAAGGAUUUCUGCUGCUAAACAGAUUUGGGCUGGACUCGCUGAGGAUUUACCGGGAGCUAACCCGGCUGUCCCCGCACUUCUCUUUGGAAGGGGUCUGCACAUGCACGGAUCAUCCAGUUUUGUGGGCUGCCCUUCCUUACAAACCCUGUUCAGAUUUUAGUGAGGGCAUUAUUUUCCCUUUGAUUUAGCACCGCCAGGAGUUAUUCUAUUCUACCCGGGCUUGUCUAUUUACUCUUUAAAGCAUGUUCCUUUUAUUUACUCCUCCGGAGCUGCCUGUUUAAUCCAAUCUCUUUUCCACUGAAUUACACCAGCACAAUAACAUGGGCAAACAGGUUCAGCCUGGGUCACGGGUGGCAGAGGAAGGGGCUAUAUUCUUGCCAGAUAAUAACUCUAGCAUUAAGAAUAAAAAAGGGAAUUUACUGUGAAUAGUGAGUUUUAUAGCUAAAUAGGGAGCUGCUGUUACCAAUCCAUACUUGCAAUGUUUUUGCAGCACCACUUCCCCCCCAAAAAAAACACUCCCUCCCAAAAAAAAACACUCCCCCCAAAAAAAACAAGUGAUUGACCUGAACAUGAGGGACAAGACAGGUCCCAAACUCACACCCUCACCUCGCAGCUUGACACCAAAACCCCACGGGUGCCAUUCAUUUCUCUGUUGGACCCCACCAUAGUGCAAACUGUGAAUAAAAGCCUGUUUCAAAUAAAAUAAAAAAUGGGGAGCAUCUUUUAUUUGGUGAUAAUAAAACGGUGGCAGUUUGGU
Anas platyrhynchos (mallard) is the source of this 5023-nucleotide non-coding RNA. The record is from RefSeq and is a predicted model, not a curated record. Lineage: Eukaryota; Metazoa; Chordata; Aves; Anseriformes; Anatidae.